GUACGCUGGCGGCACGCCUAACACAUGCAAGUCGAACGAAGUAGCAAUACUUAGUGGCAGACGGGUGAGUAACAUGUAGGUAUCUGCCCUUUGGCCUGGAAUAACACGAGGAAACUUGUGCUAAUACCGGAUAAGUCUUUACGGAGAAAGCUUUAUGCACCAUUGGAUGAGCCUGCACUUGAUUAGUUUGUUGGUGGGGUAAUGGCCUACCAAGACUGUGAUCAAUAGCUGAUUUGAGAGGAUGAUCAGCCACAUUGGGACUGAGACACGGCCCAAACUCCUACGGGAGGCAGCAGUGGGGAAU
This 304-nucleotide ribosomal RNA is filed under the name uncultured Alphaproteobacteria bacterium. RNAcentral's name for it is "bacterial SSU rRNA". It matches the Rfam family "Bacterial small subunit ribosomal RNA", at positions 31 to 362 of the family's 1533-position model. Lineage: Bacteria; Pseudomonadati; Pseudomonadota; Alphaproteobacteria. The record is from RNAcentral.